RNAcentral lists this ribosomal RNA (624 nucleotides) under uncultured bacterium. RNAcentral describes it as "bacterial SSU rRNA". It matches the Rfam family "Bacterial small subunit ribosomal RNA", at positions 54 to 727 of the family's 1533-position model. The record is from RNAcentral.
CAUGCAAGUCGAACGCUCCGCAAGGAGAGUGGCAGACGGGUGAGUAACGCGUGGGAAUCUACCUAGUUCUGCGGAACAACAGUUGGAAACGACUGCUAAUACCGCAUACGCCCUACGGGGGAAAGAUUUAUCGGAAUUAGAUGAGCCCGCGUAAGAUUAGCUAGUUGGUGGGGUAAUGGCCUACCAAGGCGACGAUCUUUAGCUGGUCUGAGAGGAUGAUCAGCCACACUGGGACUGAGACACGGCCCAGACUCCUACGGGAGGCAGCAGUGGGGAAUAUUGGACAAUGGGCGCAAGCCUGAUCCAGCCAUGCCGCGUGAGUGAUGAAGGCCUUAGGGUUGUAAAGCUCUUUCAGUGGGGAAGAUAAUGACGGUACCCACAGAAGAAGCCCCGGCUAACUUCGUGCCAGCAGCCGCGGUAAUACGAAGGGGGCUAGCGUUGUUCGGAUUUACUGGGCGUAAAGCGCACGUAGGCGGAUUGUUAAGUGAGGGGUGAAAUCCUGGAGCUCAACUCCAGAACUGCCUUUCAUACUGGCAAUCUAGAGUCCGGAAGAGGUAAGUGGAACUCCUAGUGUAGAGGUGGAAUUCGUAGAUAUUAGGAAGAACACCAGUGGCGAGGCGGCUU